RNAcentral lists this ribosomal RNA (253 nucleotides) under uncultured bacterium. RNAcentral's name for it is "partial 16S ribosomal RNA". It matches the Rfam family "Bacterial small subunit ribosomal RNA", at positions 524 to 776 of the family's 1533-position model. The record is from RNAcentral.
UACGAAGGGGGCUAGCGUUGUUCGGAAUUACUGGGCGUAAAGCGCACGUAGGCGGAUAUUUAAGUCAGGGGUGAAAUCCCGGGGCUCAACCUCGGAACUGCCUUUGAUACUGCGAAUCUUGAGUCCGAUAGAGGUGGGUGGAAUUCCUAGUGUAGAGGUGAAAUUCGUAGAUAUUAGGAAGAACACCAGUGGCGAAGGCGGCCCACUGGAUCGGUACUGACACUGAGGUGCGAAAGCGUGGGGAGCAAACAGG